AUUGAACGCUGGCGGAAUGCUUUACACAUGCAAGUCGAACGGUAGAGGGGGCAACCCCUCGAGAGUGGCGAACGGGUGAGUAAUAUAUCGGAACGUGCCCAGUCGUGGGGGAUAACGUAGCGAAAGUUACGCUAAUACCGCAUACGAUCUAAGGAUGAAAGCGGGGGAUCGCAAGACCUCGCGCGAUUGGAGCGGCCGAUAUCAGAUUAGGUAGUUGGUGGGGUAAAGGCUCACCAAGCCAACGAUCUGUAGCUGGUCUGAGAGGACGACCAGGCACACUGGAACUGAGACACGGUCCAGACUCCUACGGGGGGCAGCAGUGGGGAAUUUUGGACAAUGGACGCAAGUCUGAUCCAGCCAUUCCGCGUGCAGGAUGAAGGCCCUCGGGUUGUAAACUGCUUUUGUACGGAGCGAAAAGGUCUCUCUUAAUACGGGGGGCUCAUGACGGUACCGUAAGAAUAAGCACCGGCUAACUACGUGCCAGCCGCCGCAGUAA
This 496-nucleotide ribosomal RNA is filed under the name uncultured bacterium. RNAcentral's name for it is "partial 16S ribosomal RNA". It matches the Rfam family "Bacterial small subunit ribosomal RNA", at positions 30 to 523 of the family's 1533-position model. The record is from RNAcentral.